UAAAGUUGUGUGUCUGUACAGUGUUAAUAAAGUUGUGUGUUUGUACAGUGAUAAUAAAGUUGUGUGUUUGUACAGUGUUAAUAAAGUUGUGUUUGUACAGUGAUAAUAAAGUUGUGUGUUUGUACAGUGUUAAUAAAGUUGUGUGUUUGUACAGUGUUAAUAAAGUUGUGUUUGUACAGUGAUAAUAAAGUUUUGUGUUUGUACAGUGAUAAUAAAGUUGUGUGUUUGUACAGUGUUAAUAAAGUUGUGUUUGUACAGUGUUAAUAAAGUUGUGUGUUUGUACAGUGUUAAUAAAGUUGUGUGUUUGUACAGUGUUAAUAAAGUUGUGUUUGUACAGUGUUAAUAAAGUUGUGUGUUUGUACAGUGUUAAUAAAGUUGUGUUUGUACAGUGUUAAUAAAGUUGUGUGUUUGUACAGUGUUAAUAAAGUUGUGUGUUUGUACAGUGUUAAUAAAGUUGUGUUUGUACAGUGUUAAUAAAGUUUUGUGUUUGUACAGUGAUAAUAAAGUUGUGUGUUUGUACAGUGUUAAUAAAGUUGUGUUUGUACAGUGAUAAUAAAGUUGUGUGUUUGUACAGUGUUAAUAAAGUUUUGUGUUUGUACAGUGUUAAUAAAGUUGUGUGUUUGUACAGUGUUAAUAAAGUUGUGUUUGUACAGUGUUAAUAAAGUUGUGUGUUUGUACAGUGAUAAUAAAGUUGUGUUUGUACAGUGUUAAUAAAGUUGUGUGUUUGUACAGUGUUAAUAAAGUUUUGUGUUUGUACAGUGUUAAUAAAGUUGUGUGUUUGUACAGUGAUAAUAAAGUUGUGUGUUUGUACAGUGUUAAUAAAGUUGUGUGUUUGUACAGUGUUAAUAAAGUUGUGUUUGUACAGUGUUAAUAAAGUUGUGUGUUUGUACAGUGAUAAUAAAGUUUUGUGUUUGUACAGUGUUAAUAAAGUUGUGUUUGUACAGUGAUAAUAAAGUUGUGUGUUUGUACAGUGUUAAUAAAGUUGUGUGUUUGUACAGUGUUAAUAAAGUUCUGUUUGUACAGUGAUAAUAAAGUUGUGUGUUUGUACAGUGUUAAUAAAGUUGUGUGUUUGUACAGUGUUAAUAAAGUUGUGUUUGUACAGUGUUAAUAAAGUUGUGUGUUUGUACAGUGUUAAUAAAGUUGUGUGUUUGUACAGUGAUAAUAAAGUUGUGUUUGUACAGUGUUAAUAAAGUUGUGUGUUUGUACAGUGUUAAUAAAGUUUUGUGUUUGUACAGUGUUAAUAAAGUUGUGUGUUUGUACAGUGAUAAUAAAGUUGUGUGUUUGUACAGUGUUAAUAAAGUUGUGUGUUUGUACAGUGUUAAUAAAGUUGUGUUUGUACAGUGUUAAUAAAGUUGUGUGUUUGUACAGUGAUAAUAAAGUUGUGUGUUUGUACAGUGAUAAUAAAGUUGUGUGUUUGUACAGUGUUAAUAAAGUUGUGUUUGUACAGUGUUAAUAAAGUUGUGUUUGUACAGUGUUAAUAAAGUUUUGUGUUUGUACAGUGUUAAUAAAGUUGUGUGUUUGUACAGUGAUAAUAAAGUUGUGUGUUUGUACAGUGAUAAUAAAGUUGUGUUUGUACAGUGUUAAUAAAGUUGUGUUUGUACAGUGUUAAUAAAGUUGUGUUUGUACAGUGAUAAUAAAGUUGUGUUUGUACAGUGUUAAUAAAGUUGUGUGUUUGUACAGUGUUAAUAAAGUUGUGUGUUUGUACAGUGUUAAUAAAGUUGUGUGUUUGUACAGUGAUAAUAAAGUUGUGUUUGUACAGUGUUAAUAAAGU
This is a long non-coding RNA of Dicentrarchus labrax (European seabass), 1771 nucleotides long. RefSeq lists it as uncharacterized. The transcript is spliced from 8 exons. NCBI's taxonomy places the organism in Eukaryota, Metazoa, Chordata, Actinopteri, Moronidae. The record is from RefSeq and is a predicted model, not a curated record.